This is a long non-coding RNA of Canis lupus familiaris (dog), 457 nucleotides long. RefSeq lists it as uncharacterized. The transcript is spliced from 3 exons. Lineage: Eukaryota; Metazoa; Chordata; Mammalia; Carnivora; Canidae. The record is from RefSeq and is a predicted model, not a curated record.
AAGAGCCUACGUUGAGAAUCUUUGCAGCAAUAUUUUUAAUGGGAAUAAGGAACAAGAAGGACAGCGAGGGAUGUGAUCCAAGACAAAACUCAGAAGACGAAAAAAGAAAAAAAACCUCAGAAGACGAGCCUUUAGGACCACAAUUUUAGCUCAAGUGGAAGAAAAACUCUCUGGCAAGGAAUAAAAAUAAUAACAGGUUUCCAGCGUGGUGACAGGAAAAAGGCUACCGGCAAAAUCCGAUGAUGGACAUAAAGAAUAAAAAGAAGACAAAACAAGAUUCCAGUUUGAGAAAGAUGCGGAGAACAGACACAAAACCAGGAAGGAAAACAGGAGAUUGUUAAUGAUCACCAAGAUUCUUAAAAGAAGCAAGAGUUCUUACUAAUUCAUCUAGCUUCUAAUAAUAGACCUUGAGAGCUUGUUUGGAGAUUCUAACGAGGGAACCCAGCUCAUCCUAUGC